UCUGCACACCAACCCAAGGGUCGUUAUCAUGCUUGGUUGUGAUGACCGACGCAGCGUGUGCGUAAAGAAACGUCAAGAGCCUUGUCGCCUUUUAUAGGCCGUCUUCGUGCCGAUAGAAGUGAAUUCAAGGUCCUACAUUC
Molecule: small nucleolar RNA, 140 nt
Filed under: Astyanax mexicanus (Mexican tetra)
Lineage: Eukaryota; Metazoa; Chordata; Actinopteri; Characiformes; Acestrorhamphidae
Description: Small nucleolar RNA SNORA68 (ENSAMXG00005012261.1)
Rfam family: Small nucleolar RNA SNORA68
About the family: U68 is a member of the H/ACA class of small nucleolar RNAs (snoRNAs) which act as guides in the the modification of uridines to pseudouridines.
Source: RNAcentral